RNAcentral lists this ribosomal RNA (274 nucleotides) under uncultured bacterium. RNAcentral describes it as "partial 16S ribosomal RNA". It matches the Rfam family "Bacterial small subunit ribosomal RNA", at positions 523 to 796 of the family's 1533-position model. The record is from RNAcentral.
AUACGGAGGGUGCAAGCGUUAUCCGGAUUCAUUGGGUUUAAAGGGUGCGCAGGCGGAAUGAUAAGUCAGUGGUGAAAUCCUACAGCUUAACUGUAGAACUGCCAUUGAUACUGUCAUUCUUGAGUACACUUGAAGUGGGCGGAAUGUAUCAUGUAGCGGUGAAAUGCAUAGAUAUGAUACAGAACUCCGAUAGCGAAGGCAGCUCACUAAAUUGUAACUGACGCUCAGGCACGAAAGCGUGGGGAGCAAACAGGAUUAGAUACCCUGGUAGUCC